Molecule: ribosomal RNA, 404 nt
Filed under: uncultured bacterium
Lineage: Bacteria
Description: bacterial SSU rRNA
Rfam family: Bacterial small subunit ribosomal RNA
Source: RNAcentral
UGGGGAAUCUUAGACAAUGGGCGCAAGCCUGAUCUAGCCAUGCCGCGUGAUCGAUGAAGGCCUUAGGGUUGUAAAGAUCUUUCAGGUGGGAAGAUAAUGACGGUACCACCAGAAGAAGCCCCGGCUAACUCCGUGCCAGCAGCCGCGGUAAUACGGAGGGGGCUAGCGUUAUUCGGAAUUACUGGGCGUAAAGCGCACGUAGGCGGACUGGAAAGUCAGGGGUGAAAUCCCGGGGCUCAACCCCGGAACUGCCUUUGAAACUCCCAGUCUUGAGGUCGAGAGAGGUGAGUGGAAUUCCGAGUGUAGAGGUGAAAUUCGUAGAUAUUCGGAGGAACACCAGUGGCGAAGGCGGCUCACUGGCUCGAUACUGACGCUGAGGUGCGAAAGCGUGGGGAGCAAACAGG